This 233-nucleotide ribosomal RNA is filed under the name uncultured bacterium. RNAcentral describes it as "partial 16S ribosomal RNA". It matches the Rfam family "Bacterial small subunit ribosomal RNA", at positions 118 to 347 of the family's 1533-position model. The record is from RNAcentral.
UGAGGAACAUGACCUUCGGCGGGGGAUAGCCGGCCCAACGGCCGGGUAAUACCGCGUACGACCACAUGGGGACAUCCCUGAGUGGUGAAAGCAGCAAUGCGCCGAUGGAGUGCCUCGCGGCCUAUCAGCUAGUUGGUGAGGUAACGGCUCACCAAGGCGACGACGGGUAGCUGGUCUGAGAGGAUGGCCAGCCACAUUGGGACUGAGACACGGCCCAGACCUCCGUAGGGAGG